UCCCUGGUGGCUCAGAUGGUAAAGAAUCUGCUUGCAAUGCAGGAAACCUGGGUUCGAUCCCUGGGUUGGGAA
Molecule: transfer RNA, 72 nt
Filed under: Capra hircus (goat)
Lineage: Eukaryota; Metazoa; Chordata; Mammalia; Artiodactyla; Bovidae
Also listed under: 1 other name
Rfam family: tRNA
About the family: Transfer RNA (tRNA) molecules are approximately 80 nucleotides in length. Their secondary structure includes four short double-helical elements and three loops (D, anti-codon, and T loops).
Source: Rfam by way of RNAcentral